CCGAGGCUCCCGGAAGCAGAACGAACGUUUCCUGUGGCUCUGACUGUCUGUGAAGUAGCAUCGCAAGACAAAUGCCUACAGGCAGCUGGAGAAAGUGAGCCGGUGACAAGAGAGGAGCCCUCCGUAGGACGUGACAAGACCUUCGGGACCAAGUGUCCAGAUGGCCACAGGCCACUGCAAAACAUCAGGACAUCUGGACCACAUAGCCUCUUGUGAGCAAGGCCGCAGUGAGUCUUUCCUCAAGGAGGACUGACAGCGUCGUAUUUCGGAGCCUACAGAGCUGAGGGCAAGACCCGAGAACGGUGACAUCAAAAUGCCCACCACGGAGGCCUCUUGGUGGACUGGCAUCCAGCCAGCCCUGCUCCUGUGCCAGCCACUGUCUCAGUAGAGGCCCUUUUAAGACAUCACCAUGACGUGAGCUGUGUCGAUUAGCUGAGUGACAUCCACUAACAAAAGCUACAGAAUGAAACUGUGUGUGUGUGCGUGUGUGUGUGUGUGUACAUGCAUGUCCAGAGAAACAUAACUUCUUAACACUAGGAAGCUCAAAUAUAGCAGUCGGUUCAAUCUGACGUAUCACAUGGUCUUUAAUUAA
Long non-coding RNA from Lemur catta (Ring-tailed lemur), 592 nucleotides. RefSeq lists it as uncharacterized. The record is from RefSeq and is a predicted model, not a curated record. The transcript is spliced from 3 exons. NCBI's taxonomy places the organism in Eukaryota, Metazoa, Chordata, Mammalia, Primates, Lemuridae.